RNA transcript from Arachis stenosperma, 2216 nucleotides. RefSeq lists it as uncharacterized. NCBI's taxonomy places the organism in Eukaryota, Viridiplantae, Streptophyta, Magnoliopsida, Fabales, Fabaceae. The record is from RefSeq and is a predicted model, not a curated record. The transcript has 4 exons.
AAAAGAAAAAAAAUUAAAAAAGUUGUUCAUCUAACUUCGUGUUCUUCGUCUCCUCCCUCCUCUUCCUUCUCUCUGCUAAAGGAGAAGAAGAAGAAGCCGUCUAACCUAAACCUUUUUUCUCGAGUUCCAAUCAGUACUGUUUCUGUUGGAUCCACAGAGACGGCGGCACCGGGGUCUUCUGCUUCCUCUCUUUUGUCAGAGCUGCUCACCAUCUCCUCUAGUUGUGCGUUCUUCGAAUCUGUUGCAGCUGCGAGAGACGAAGUCCGCCAUGUACCACUGCUUACUGCUUGCCUGAAGCUUUCCUCUGCUCUGCUCUGCUCCGCUGCACUGAAGCGCAGCAAGUCCAUCGCCGUACCAAGAAGAUCCCGCUCUCUCCUCGACCCUGCUAUCUCUUCUGACUCCGUGAUUGCAAAUUGGGGCUGGGAUUUUGUUAAAUAUUAGCAUGCUUUAGCCUUGCUCAUGCCAUUAUUAAUUGGAAUUUCUUUGAACGGAACAUGAUUUUAAUCACAUGAUUGUCUGAAUUUUAAUCACUUUUUUUUGUCUGAAUUUUAAUCACUUUUUUUCCCUAUUUGAUUCAAUCUCUUUAUUUUGUUUCUUUGUUCUUGUCAAUAUUAUCAAUGCCUCUGUUAUUGGGAUUUCUCUGUUUUGCCAAAAAUCUGUAGUAUGGUGAACUUUUUGGUUUCAUGGAUGCUUAUCCUUUUUCAUAUUUUAAUAAGUAUUUAUGUGCUUAGAAGAGCAAUUGAAUCUGGUUGCAAAUUCGGGUUGUUGGUGGAAGGAAUGCAAAUUGGGACUGGUUUUCUAGUUGUUGGUGGACUAGCCUAGCUUGCUGAACUGAUUAAUUCAUUAAUAGAAGGGAGUGGUGUCAUAAUCUGCAUUGACUCUGAAACAAGAAGUGAUGUCUCGGUUCCUUCAGUUUCUCUGUGUCAUCAUAGCAGCUUCGCAUGCUAUUAGGUUUGCCACCAACUUCUCUGUUCUUGUAGAACACCCUACACAACACCCAAUCUUCUUGUAUGGACAGAAAAAAGAGUUAAUUAGAUGCUAUCAUAGUUAAUUCGAACCUAUGACUAUGCUUCAGAAAAUGGCCGAGGGUUGUGAAAGCUUCAAUUUUUACCAUCAUUCAAUUGCCUCUUUUUCUUUUAUUUUUUGCUGCUCCAUUGAACUUCAAAGUGUUUGGACUAGUUGAUGGAGUACUCCCACUUGCUUGAUAAAGCAGAUUAGUGUGAGGAUCUAUACAUGCGGCUUGUGUAUGCAUCAUCAUGGGCUGUAUCUGUUCACUAUGCAUACCCAAGAACAUGGAAGCCUUUUAAUCCAAUCCUUGGAGAGACCUAUGAAAUGGUUAACCAUGGUGGAAUCACUUUUCUUUCAGAACAGUUGAUGCCUUGAUGCUAUUAAGGUCAAUGAUUGAUUCAGUUCUUAGCUACUGAUUUUUCAAAAAGAAAUUACCGGACAAAUUUCUUUGCCGAGCUAUUGAUUCAGUUCUUGGCUAUUGAUUUUUGUUGUUGGAUCUCAACAACAAAAGAUUCAAUUCUGACAUUGGCGUACAUGGCCAAGCAAAUUUUCCAUCAUUUGUGACUCAUCAUGAUGUUCAUCCAUCACCACUACCUAUGCAUUUGUUUCAAGGUGUUCUUUCUAUGCUAACUUACAACCAAGUCAUGGAAGUAAGUUGCAAGAAAUUUCAGAAGGAUAGUACCGAUGACUCAAACCAUCGUUCAGGAUCAAAUGCAUCAGACAAUAAGCCUUUCUAUAACUUCUUAGAAGUUAAGGAUCCAGAGUGGGGGAAGGAUGCACUUGGAUCACAUCAUGGCACGAAGCAGGACGCUACGGCCUUUGAUCUUAGCUUGAAGCUUUGAUUCUAGCAGGAAACUGUGAAGCAGUAACAAUGGCUAUGAUGAGUAUGCAUUUAUAAUGGUUUUCUGCUUGAAAUCCAACAAUGUUAACAAGCUAAGAAAAAGUGAAUAGUUUCCUAGUCUUGGUUGAGGCCAAGGUAACUCGGAAUUAAAGAUAGAAGAGAUUUGUUACAUUAGAGACCAUGCCUUUGGAUUCAAGGAAACUGGAAAUCAAAGAUAAGAAGAAAUCUUGCAUGGAGAUUUCAUUUGACCUAUCUUAAUUUCGAUAGUUAUGGUUUUAUUUUAUUUGAGACUUUUAAUUUGGUUACAUUACAUGUAAUUCUAUAGUUGCUCUAUAGUCUUAGUAAUGAAAUUUUAAAUUCGAUGACA